This 301-nucleotide ribosomal RNA is filed under the name uncultured bacterium. Its description in RNAcentral is "partial 16S ribosomal RNA". It matches the Rfam family "Bacterial small subunit ribosomal RNA", at positions 509 to 807 of the family's 1533-position model. The record is from RNAcentral.
CAGCAGCCACGGUAAUACAGAGGGUGCGAGCGUUAAUCGGAUUUACUGGGCGUAAAGCGUGCGUAGGCGGCUUCUUAAGUCGGAUGUGAAAUCCCUGAGCUUAACUUAGGAAUUGCAUUCGAUACUGGGAAGCUAGAGUAUGGGAGAGGAUGGUAGAAUUCCAGGUGUAGCGGUGAAAUGCGUAGAGAUCUGGAGGAAUACCGAUGGCGAAGGCAGCCAUCUGGCCUAAUACUGACGCUGAGGUACGAAAGCAUUGGGAGCAAACAGGAUUAGAUACCCCAGUAGUCCCUGUCUCUUAUAC